GACGAACGCUGGCGGCGUGCCUAAUACAUGCCAGUCGAACGCUGAAGGAGGAGCUUGCUCUUCUGGAUGAGUUGCGAACGGGUGAGUAACGCGUAGGUAACCUGCCUGGUAGCGGGGGAUAACUAUUGGAAACGAUAGCUAAUACCGCAUAAGAGUAGAUGUUGCAUGACAUUUGCUUAAAAGGUGCAAUUGCAUCACUACCAGAUGGACCUGCGUUGUAUUAGCUAGUUGGUGGGGUAACGGCUCACCAAGGCGACGAUACAUAGCCGACCUGAGAGGGGGAUCGGCCACACUGGGACUGAGACACGGCCCAGACUCCUACGGGAGGCAGCAGUAGGGAAUCUUCGGCAAUGGACGGAAGUCUGACCGAGCAACGCCGCGUGAGUGAAGAAGGUUUUCGGAUCGUAAAGCUCUGUUGUAAGAGAAGAACGAGUGUGAGAGUGGAAAGUUCACACUGUGACGGUAUCUUACCAGAAAGGGACGGCUAACUACGUG
Molecule: ribosomal RNA, 495 nt
Filed under: uncultured bacterium
Lineage: Bacteria
Description: partial 16S ribosomal RNA
Rfam family: Bacterial small subunit ribosomal RNA
Source: RNAcentral